RNAcentral lists this ribosomal RNA (253 nucleotides) under uncultured bacterium. RNAcentral describes it as "partial 16S ribosomal RNA". It matches the Rfam family "Bacterial small subunit ribosomal RNA", at positions 524 to 776 of the family's 1533-position model. The record is from RNAcentral.
UACGAAGGGGGCGAGCGUUGUUCGGAUUUACUGGGCGUAAAGGGCGCGCAGGCGGCAGAUCAAGUCAGAUGUGAAAGCCCCGGGCUUAACCUGGGAACUGCAUUUGGGACUGGUUUGCUAGAGAUCGGGAGAGGAGAGUGGAAUUCCCAGUGUAGAGGUGAAAUUCGUAGAUAUUGGGAAGAACACCGGUGGCGAAGGCGGCUCACUGGCUCAUUUCUGACGCUCAGGCGCGACAGCGUGGGGAUCAAACAGG